Long non-coding RNA from Cannabis sativa, 753 nucleotides. RefSeq lists it as uncharacterized. The record is from RefSeq and is a predicted model, not a curated record. The transcript has 2 exons. NCBI's taxonomy places the organism in Eukaryota, Viridiplantae, Streptophyta, Magnoliopsida, Rosales, Cannabaceae.
UUCUGUUAAGGCACCAAUGAUGAGAGAGUUUUUAUUUUAUGUAGUGGACUCCAUCUUUCCACGUCCGAAAGAACCGAGGUUGUCAAAGCUUUGGAGCCAUGUUACUGUCCCUAUUCCAAAAAUCCAUGCAUUUUAAUUUUCUCUUCACAUCAAGAACCCCUUUUAAGUGGAUUCCAACUCCUCAUUCAACCAUAUAUAGAUUCCCUUAACAAGUGAUUCCAUUCUAUUAUUUUAUGUGGGGUUCCUUCAAAUCUCGGUACCCAAUGGGUGGACUUGCUGUUUUGUUUGUGAGCAAUAGGGUAAUGGGGCUAACCUACCUAAUAGGAUCUGACAGGUACCAGUUAUAUAUAUAUACAUAUUUUUCAAUUUUGUGUGGAUUGCAAUACCAUAUAUAUUUAUAAUUAAGCCACAAUACCAUGCAUUAUCAGUAUUAAUAUAUAUAGAGAGACAAUAUAAUAUUAACCCCUCUCCUUUCUCCCUAGCUGUGUAGCUCAGAUAUAUAUAUAUAUAAAUAAAGUAUAUUAGUUUACUUUUAUUUUUUGCUGUUGCAAAGAACAAUGACAGUUUUAUUGUAUGUAAAUAAAAAUAAUAUCCAUUAGUCAAUUCACAUAUAAUUUGUGCUAAUUAUAUUUUUAUAAUAUUUCCCAUUAAAAAAGAAAAAAAAAAGCUUUUAUUAUAUUAAUUUCUUAACUUAUGUUUGCCAACUCAUUUUCCUACCAUUAUGAAAGAGAGGAAAAAAAAAAAAAAGAAGAA